GUAGGUGGCAAGCGUUGUCCGGAAUUAUUGGGCGUAAAGCGCGCGCAGGCGGGGUCCUUUAAGUCUGAUGUGAAAGCCCACGGGCUCAACCGUGGAGGGUCAUUGGAAACUGGGGGACUUGAGUACAGAAGAGGAAAGCGGAAUUCCAAGUGUAGCGGUGAAAUGCGUAGAGAUUGGAGGAACACCAGUGGCGAAGGCGGCUUUCUGGUCUGUAACUGACGCUGAGGCGCGAAAGCGUGGGGAGCAAACAGGAUUAGAUACCCUGGUAGUCCACGCCGUAAACGAUGAGUGCUAAGUGUUAGGGGGUUUCCGCCCCUUAGUGCUGCAGCUAACGCAUUAAGCACUCCGCCUGGGGAGUACGGCCGCAAAGGCUG
Molecule: ribosomal RNA, 374 nt
Filed under: uncultured organism
Description: partial 16S ribosomal RNA
Rfam family: Bacterial small subunit ribosomal RNA
Source: RNAcentral